Molecule: long non-coding RNA, 1778 nt
Organism: Nematostella vectensis (starlet sea anemone)
Lineage: Eukaryota; Metazoa; Cnidaria; Anthozoa; Actiniaria; Edwardsiidae
Exons: 2
Source: RefSeq, a predicted model, not a curated record
GAUGCACAUGCCGUUCCUGCACACGUCAGCCUCCAUCACGCACUCGUCGAUAUCUGCGAAUACGUUCAAAGUCACUAGUGCGAGGGAACCAUAUAAUGCUUUAUGGUAUAACCAGAAAAACUUAAGACAAGGUUGACAAGUACGCUGCACGCUUCUGUGAACAUUGCAAUGGCCUCUGUGAAACAGAGACGUAGCGCUGACGUCUCAAGCCCUUCGUCGGAGCAAAACAGACUGAAGUCGUAUGAGAGGAAAGUUUAAUAUAGCUAGCCUCAUGACAGAGCAGUGGGGCCCCACCAUCUCCCCAAUAUAGCUAGCCUCAUGACAGAGCCGUGGGGCUCCACCAUCUUCUUAAUAUAGCUAGCCUCAUGACACAGCCGUGGGCUCGACCAACUCCCCAAUGUAGCUAGCCUCAUGACAGAGCCGUGGGCCCCACCAUCUCCCCAAUAUAGCUAGCCUCAUGACAGAGCCGUGGGGCUCCACCAUCUUCUUAAUAUAGCUAGCCUCAUGACACAGCCGUGGGCUCGACCAUCUCCCCAAUGUAGCUAGCCUCAUGACAGAGCCGUGGGCCCCACCAUCUCCCCAAUAUAGCUAGCCUCAUGACAGAGCCGUGGGCUCCACCAUCUUCCCAAUAUAGCUAGCCUCAUGACAGAGCCGUGGGCUCCACCAUCUCAAUAUAGCUAGCCUUAUGACAGAGCCGUGUGGCCCCACCAUCUUCCCAAUAUAGCUAACCUCAUAACAGAGCCGUGGGGCCCCACCAUCUUCCCAAUAUAGCUAGCCUCAUGACAGAGCCGUGGGGCUCCACCAUCUCCCCAAUAUAGCUAGCCUUAUGACAGAGCCGUGGGCUCCACCAUCUCCCCAAUAUAGCUAGCCUCAAAACAGAGCCUUGGGUUCCACCAUCUCCCCAAUAUAGCUAGCCUCAUGACAUAGCCGUGGGCUCCACCAUCUCCCCAAUAUAGCUAGCCUCAUGACAUAGCCGUGGGCUCCACCAUCUCCCCAAUAUAGCUAGCCUCAUGACAGAGCCGUGGGGCUCCACCAUCUCCCCAAUAUAGCUAGCCUCAUGACAGAGCCGUGGGCUCCACCAUCUCCCCAAUAUAGCUAGCCUCAUGACAGAGCCGUGGGGCUCCACCAUCUCCCCAAUAUAGCUAGCCUCAAAACAGAGCCGUGGGCCCCACCAUCUCCCCAAUAUAGCUAGCCUCAUGACAGAGCCGUGGGUCUCCACCAUCUCCCCAAUGUAGCUAGCCUCAUGACAGAGCCGUGGGCCCCACCAUCUCCCCAAUAUAGCUAGCCUCAUGACAGAGCCGUGGGCUCCACCAUCUUCCCAAUAUAGCUAGCCUCAUGACAGAGCCGUGGGGCCCCACCAUCUCCCCAAUAUAGCUAGCCUCAUGACAGAGCCGUGGGGCCCACCAUUUCCCCAAUAUAGCUAGCCUCAUGACAUAGCCGUGGGGCCCCACCAUCUCCCCACUAUAUCUAGCCUCAUGACAUAGCCGUGGGGCUCCACCAUCUCCCCAAUAAAGCUAGCCUCAUGACAGAGCCGUGGGGCCCCACCAUCUCCCCAAUAUAGCUAGCCUCAUGACAUAGCCGUGGGGCUCCACCAUCUCCCCAAUAUAGCUAGCCUUAUGACAGAGCCGUGGGGCCCCACCAUCUCCCCAAUAUAGCUAGCCUCAUUACAGAGCCGUGGGGCCCCACCAUCUCACCAAUAUAGCUAGCCUCAUGACAUAGCCGUGGGGCCCCACCAUCUCCCCGCCAUCAGGAUCACCACCCUACACCUCCUUCCCAUC